GUGCUCACUUCGACAGCAAAUAUACUAAAAUUGGAAUGAUACAGAGAAGAUGAGCAUGGUCCCUGCACAGGGAUGACAUGCAAAUUUGUGAAGCGUUCUAUAUUUUU
This 107-nucleotide small nuclear RNA is filed under the name Colobus angolensis palliatus. The record is from RNAcentral. Lineage: Eukaryota; Metazoa; Chordata; Mammalia; Primates; Cercopithecidae.